RNAcentral lists this transfer RNA (76 nucleotides) under Nevskiaceae bacterium. RNAcentral's name for it is "tRNA-Phe". It matches the Rfam family "tRNA". Rfam says of the family: Transfer RNA (tRNA) molecules are approximately 80 nucleotides in length. Their secondary structure includes four short double-helical elements and three loops (D, anti-codon, and T loops). Lineage: Bacteria; Pseudomonadati; Pseudomonadota; Gammaproteobacteria; Nevskiales; Nevskiaceae. The record is from RNAcentral.
GUCCCUGUAGCUGAGAAGGUUGUAGCGCGACGCUGAAAACGUCGAGACGCACGUUCGAUUCGUGCCGGGGACACCA